GACGAACGCUGGCGGCGUGCUUAACACAUGCAAGUCGAACGAAGAGCGACGGAAGCUUGCUUCUAUCAAUCUUAGUGGCGAACGGGUGAGUAACGCGUAAUCAACCUGCCCUUCAGAGGGGGACAACAGUUGGAAACGACUGCUAAUACCGCAUACGAUCUAACCUCGGCAUCGAGGAUAGAUGAAAGGUGGCCUCUACAUGUAAGCUAUCACUGAAGGAGGGGAUUGCGUCUGAUUAGCUAGUUGGAGGGGUAACGGCCCACCAAGGCGAGGAUCAGUAGCCGGUCUGAGAGGAUGAACGGCCACAUUGGGACUGAGACACGGCCCAGACUCCUACGGGAGGCAGCAGUGGGGAAUCUUCCGCAAUGGACGAAAGUCUGACGGAGCAACGCCGCGUGAGUGAUGACGGCCUUCGGGUUGUAAAGGUCUGUUAAUCGGGACGAAAGGCCUUCUUGCGAAUAGUGAGAAGGAUUGACGGUACCGGAAUAGAAAGCCACGGCUAACUACGUG
RNAcentral lists this ribosomal RNA (510 nucleotides) under uncultured bacterium. RNAcentral describes it as "partial 16S ribosomal RNA". It matches the Rfam family "Bacterial small subunit ribosomal RNA", at positions 28 to 507 of the family's 1533-position model. The record is from RNAcentral.